AACGAACGCUGGCGGCAGGCCUAACACAUGCAAGUCGAGCGAGGACUUCGGUUCUAGCGGCGGACGGGUGAGUAACGCGUGGGAAUGUGCCCUUCUCUACGGAAUAGCCCUGGGAAACUGGGAGUAAUACCGUAUACGCCCUUUUGGGGAAAGAUUUAUCGGAGAAGGAUCAGCCCGCGUUGGAUUAGGUAGUUGGUGGGGUAAUGGCCUACCAAGCCGACGAUCCAUAGCUGGUUUGAGAGGAUGAUCAGCCACACUGGGACUGAGACACGGCCCAGACUCCUACGGGAGGCAGCAGUGGGGAAUCUUAGACAAUGGGGGCAAGCCUGAUCUAGCCAUGCCGCGUGAGUGAUGAAGGCCUUAGGGUUGUAAAGCUCUUUCAGCUGGGAAGAUAAUGACGGUACCAGCAGAAGAAGCCCCGGCUAACUCCGUG
RNAcentral lists this ribosomal RNA (433 nucleotides) under uncultured bacterium. RNAcentral's name for it is "partial 16S ribosomal RNA". It matches the Rfam family "Bacterial small subunit ribosomal RNA", at positions 29 to 507 of the family's 1533-position model. The record is from RNAcentral.